CGUUGGAUUUUUCCAUGAAGAUUAUACUGUUGACUUCCCAGCCUUAAAGAUUCUUGAGAUAGAAAACAGUCCAGACUUGAAGGUAUUCAUCCAUAAAUCUAUCGACAAAGAUAACCCUAUUGGUGGAGUUUUGUUCAACGAAAAGCCUUGAGUGGAGCCUGGAAAGAAGCAGAAAUGGCGAUAACUAGGUGCAGGCAAGGCAACCAAGAAGAGGAAUAAAUUAGGAGGAAUGGAAAGCUUAAAAACCCAAAACACUAACCUGUAAAUGACCAAAUCCGGGCACAGUGUGAUGAAGAAGAAGCUGUAAUCAGAAAAGGGGAAACCGAUUACAUGCAGAAUCAGCAGAGUGAAACAAAUCUGGAGGGGAUUAACUUACCAACAAGGAAAUCGGCAGAGGCUAAGAAGGAACAGAAGAGAAACGGGGAAGCAGAUGGGAGGGUAUAACAGGGAUGGUAAACCUAUGCGGUGCCUAAUCUGAGCAAAUGGGGUGUAUUAGAAAUCGGUGAAUUUCACCGAUUAGGUUAGUAUUGUAUUACAGGCGUAAUAGAAAAAUCAUGAACCAAACAACGGCAUAGAGGCGUCUUAAGUGGGCCCCACCGAUUAUAGCCAAUACACCCAACCAAACAUGUUCUAAAUGUGUGUUUCUAUAAUUUGUUCUGGAUUUAAAAUGA
This is a long non-coding RNA of Gossypium raimondii (Peruvian cotton), 671 nucleotides long. RefSeq lists it as uncharacterized. The record is from RefSeq and is a predicted model, not a curated record. The transcript has 2 exons. NCBI's taxonomy places the organism in Eukaryota, Viridiplantae, Streptophyta, Magnoliopsida, Malvales, Malvaceae.